AGGUUUGGUAAAAUGCCACUGUAGUGCUUCAGAAAGUAGGAAAAUCCCCUCAGCGUUUCCACCAGCAGUAAGAACGUGCUCCUGGCCUUAUGGCUGUGCAGACAUGAGUGGAAUAAGACUGGCUUGGUGCUAGGGAAGGCUCGGGGCUGGGAGAAGAAUUAUGGCUCAGGGACAAUGCUGAAAGGAUGGUGCUGAGAGCUGUGCUCUGCCUUGCAGCUCAGAUAAUCCUCCCUCGUCAUACUUCAGGGUGGGCUGCUUGCAUUCGUGUCACUGUUUAUCUUCCAGAUGGCUUGCAGGUGCUGCAUGGGAUUGGCAUUAAACUCUGCUUGCAUAGGAUAUUAGGGAGGGAACAUUUACUGGGAAAAAAUGUCUCUAGCUGCAGAAAGAAUCUCUUAUGUCAGGUUAUUUAGAUGCAGAGGUGGGUCAGUGGAUUUCUUGAGCAAGAACUCAAAUUUUCAGACACUGUUUGAAAGGGGCUGUGCUUUAAGAAGUUAUCACUUCUCAUCAGGGCACGUAAGCACAGGGUCUUCACCAGUGCUGGGAGCUUAGUGUCACACUGACAGCUGCUCGUGUUCUGGCUUAAGCUGGGCACAUCCUGAAGGUGCUGAAGGCCUGCACGUGUUCAUGGUGCAAAAACUGGAUACAGGAUGCUGAAUCCCAGAUGUGUGAGGCUUUGCAGAAACCACCACCUAUGUCCAGCCACAUAAAUCCACAGGGUUACAGAGAUGAUGGGAGCUGCCCGGUGAGCAUCUGCAAUGGGAGGUGUUGCUUCAGAGGAAGGAUUUGCUCACGCAGAGGAAGACUUCAUGUGAAUUAACUAACGUGGGAAUUGAAAGUAGAUUAGCAAUGCCACGUAAAUGGAUGGAUCCCUUGGAUUCUUCUCUUCAGAAUUAAACUGGUCCUAAUUUGUUUCAGUGUAAUUAUGAAAGAGGAUGUUAUACAGGCUUUAAUGAGAUCUAAUGUUUUCACCACAAAAGUUAGCCUGGGUUCAUUUCUUAUGUCUCUCAGCAGGGGUGGGAUUGGAAUGCGUGUUGAAUUUUUUUAGUAGGAAACUUGUAUUAUUUUUACCUUGGGUUUCAAUAACUGAUUCUGAUAAUGGUGUAAUCUGUUUUUGUUGUGAUUAUACUAUUUUUAAUCACAGGAUAUAAAAGCUCUGAAUAAGCAAUUAAUUAAUCCUCACCAAGUCCCUACAAGGUCGGUAAAAGCUUUAUAGGAGUCAAUGUAUGGCUUUUCCCGUGGAAUACAGCGAGGCAAAGCAGUGCAAUGAGGCAUGGGAGGGAAGAUGGGUAUCUGACUUUACUGAAUACAUGGGUGGAGUUAAGCAAGAAAAAGACGUUAUUAACCAGUUUAGAAUUUGGUUGCACCACCACAAUGCACACAGGAGGAAAUGUCAGGGGAGCUCCAGCAAUCUGGGCGUCCACUUUCUGUCUGACCCAACCCACCUCACUCAUAGCAGCACUGCACGCAAUGCACCACAGUGGGAGCAGCUAAUAGCAGGGUGUGCACAUCAUGGAUUAGAAGUAAUUUAUCUGAUUUCCUUUUAUUUUGAAAUAGGAUUUACCCAUUUGAAUUAGAUUUUGUUAAAAAAAAAAAAAGCGAAGAGGAAGAAAAAACCGUUGAGCUCCCAACUGCUGUUUGCAGGCUGACUGCGUGUUGACAGAUUGCUCUGCUGGUGUUGCAGUCCUUUCUCUGUCGGGGCAGUUUCUUUCUUUUCCCCCAUGGAUAGUUUAUUUUCUGCUCAAUGCUAAGUCUCGUGUUUGUCUUACUUCUUUAAAUGAGAGCAAGCACUGCGCUUUUGUUCUGCCCCUUUUCCAGUGCCAUUUUGCUGAUCUUCUCUGCGUGAAUCUGAAAGAUCAGGAAAACAAAUCAAUACAGAAGAGGACCUCCUGCCCCUUUUAACCUAACCUGUGGGAGGGAGGAGGGAGAAAUAGCCAAUGACAUGAAAGGAAAUUUUAAGUAUGCCCAAAAAAAGCGCAGUGGGAGUGAGGGUUUGGAAGGACAGGUGUCAACAGGACCAGCCUCUGCAUUUCACAGAGUGUCUUUAUGAACUCACGGUCAUCUCCUCUGCAGCAGCACGCAGGGGUGAUCCAUACAGCUGUAAGGCAUUGAACCUGUAACAGUUCUGAGAGGGAGGAGGCAGUGGCCCUCGUGUUUCUGCAUCACUGACUGUGAAGGGCUUUGCUGGUUAGAAGCUCACCACACGAUCUGAAAGCCAGCGAAUGGCAACAGCUGCCUUGUCAUGGUGAGGUGGGCCUCGGUUCUCUCUGAUGCCCUGUCCUACUUCCACUCCUGCAGGUGAGCAGCUUGUCUUGCUGUGGAUAGUCGCCAUGCAGAGCAGAAGGGAGCUGGAGAGAGGUUCUGUGCCUCUACAGCAGCUGGAUACUGUCACUGGAACAGUGAGGCCUCGUCAGAAAACCAAGCCUAUCAGAAACUACACAAUGCACCACUUGAAAUCCAGGGGGUCCAAACAGCAGGCAUCCAUCCCAGGUUGGUUGAACAUGCUCCCUACGAUAUAUAUGAGAUUGGCAUAGGAAACAUUUAUUGGAAUCAUGAACAUGACACUCUGUGUCCAGCAUCUUUUUAAUACUUCAAGUUGGUAUCUUCUCUGACUAGAUCCUCUGCUCGGCUUUCACUGAUAGACAUCAAAGACUUCAUACAGCACCUCUAUUACAGAGACCAGUGAGUAAUUUCACUUUUAAAGGUGACGUGUCAGGGACACUCAAGCAUGACUUGUUUCUUUCUUCUCCUAAAUCUUGCACACUCUCUUUUCUUUAUUCCUGCAGCAACCUGUUGCUCAAUAGUAACAGGUCAAGACCUUCUCUUAGUACUGUAUGAUACAUGGUCAGAUGUCUCAACAUCAAUAGUGCUCUGAGGCACGUUCUGCCUGCCUUCUAGAUUUGGGAUGAACUGCAGGCAUUCAUUUUGGGAAGCCUGGUGUGACUUGAACUCUUUGAACUCUAGAGUACUGUUCCUUCACCAUAGCAUGGUCCAUGGUCCAUCAUUGUUGGAAGUAGCAACCUUCUGUUGUAAAUGGCUAUUGAGUGGCUGACUCAUCUCUGUGUUUUAAGUCGGCUUCUCUGAGUGCGUGGCUGAGGUCUCUCAGUGUAUAUUUGCAGUUACUGACUGUUCCCACCUUUCAUGGGGUGAAACGUGACCUCCAAGAGACGUACAGGAUUUACUACCUGUCAGGAUACUGCAUUUCAGAAGAGAGAUGCUAAAUCUGCUUACAGAUUUAAAUGCACACAUUGCUCUUGGCAACGUAAGCCAUCCUGUAAGUCUUGAACGCUGACCUAAGGAAAUAUUUCUAAUAAAGACAUCUUAUUUCCUGGAAAUUAAAGUGCAUCAGAGGCUUUUAUCUGAAAUCAUGUGGAGUUUCACUGUUAAUAAUGCAACAGACUGAAGAAGCCUUCAUAUUGCAGGGGAAACAGUGCCACUGCCACUGCCCAAAUGUCCACUUCUUUUGGUCCCAAGGAAUUUAAAGGCAAAGGCCUUUAAGAUGGAGUUCUUAUUUCAGCAAUUCAAGGAUUAAAAACAUAGGUAGGCAUUCAAAAGAAAUCUUUGCAUGUUACUCCAAGAAAGAUACAGAUUAAAUCCAGUAAGGAGUCCUAGUUUUGCCCAGCAAAUCUGUAAGCAAAUAAAUUGA
Molecule: non-coding RNA, 3643 nt
Organism: Meleagris gallopavo (turkey)
Lineage: Eukaryota; Metazoa; Chordata; Aves; Galliformes; Phasianidae
Source: RefSeq, a predicted model, not a curated record